AAGGGGGUUAUCUAACUCUAAAUAGAAGGUAAGAGAGCUACGUGGGCUUUGAUUCCUCUAAACCCCAAGAGGAUACGUAGGUAACUUAAUUUCUACAAAAUUAAGUUCAAGCCCUUCUUUUUUUUUUUUUUUAACUAAAAUUAAUUUAAUAUCUUUUUAUUUAUAUAAUUUUUUCAAAUUAAGUCUACACAUUUCUAAUUAAUUUUUAUUACAAACACAAAUAAUAUGAUUUUCUUCUUUUCUUAUUUUUUUUCCAAAUAUUUAUUUUACUAAUUUUUUUCUCCCAUUUUUUGAUAAAUGGCCCUAAACCGUCUCUUGAACCGCUCCAAACAGCCCAACUUUAAAUCGCCUAUUAAACGGUUUCAAAUCGGGGCUCGAACCGAAACCGGCGGUUUAUGAAUUGCCCCUCAAACCGUCCCUUAACGGUUCAGUUCAAGUUCGAUAUUUCUCUAAACCUAAACCAGUGGUUCAAGAACCGUAACUAGCGGUUCCUAAACUAUGGCCACCCCUAGAUAGAAAUGUAAUAGACCAGGAAAUGCCAUAAGCAAUUGGCAUUUGAAUCUUUGAAUGAUUUCCUUCUUAUAUGGUUUGAUAAAAUAGGUAAGUUAAAUUAUUGAAGAGUCAACCUUAAAACUGCACCUUUGUUAUGUUUUGAAUUAUGGGCCACACAAUCUCAUUAAACUUGGUGAUUGAAUAGGACCUCCACGAAACCAUAUUUAUAUAAUGUAAAGCAAUC
This 736-nucleotide unclassified non-coding RNA is filed under the name Hevea brasiliensis (rubber tree). Lineage: Eukaryota; Viridiplantae; Streptophyta; Magnoliopsida; Malpighiales; Euphorbiaceae. The record is from RNAcentral.